Molecule: long non-coding RNA, 2826 nt
Organism: Cavia porcellus (domestic guinea pig)
Lineage: Eukaryota; Metazoa; Chordata; Mammalia; Rodentia; Caviidae
Exons: 2
Source: RefSeq, a predicted model, not a curated record
GCGCAUUCUGGAGUGCGCGCGUACGGCGUACGAGCGCGAGCACCGGAGAAUGGACCUCGUCCUGUCAGUCCAGUUCUGGAUUCCAGCUGAUUUGGAGCCUUCAGACCCAAGGAAAAAAAGCUUCCACCAGAGGACUCUAAGAACAAUUUCUAAAUCAUGAGCUGAGGGCUAUUUUCUGCUCCUAGUACUGCGGGGCAAGCAAGUUAAAAAAGAGAGUGGGAGGGAGGGAGGGAAGGAAAGGAAGAGAGAGAGAGAGAGAGAGAGAGAGAGAGAGCGAGCAAAAGAAGAUCCUGCUGCUGGCUGGACAUGCUUCCAGCUGUCAAGGGAAAAUAAGUUUGCUGUCCUCUGUCAGGGCAGGGAGAAAUACAAAAGAAACCCAGAAAGUCCCCAGAGUUGUUUCUUCUUAAUGUCAUCUUCAGGUAGUUAAGGGGAGCCAGGCACCUGGGUUGGUAUUUGAUUCUAGUCCUCCAAUUGAAGAGAAAUUAAAACAUGGAGAAAGUGAAGAAGUUUAAAGCAUUGGAAAGCUAAUGAUACAGUGAAGAAUCACUGGGCCUGCUGGGUAUGGUGGUGCACACCUGUAAUCCCAGCACUUGGGAGGCUGAGGCAGGAGGAUCGCUUCAACUUCACGGCCAGUCUGGGCUACAUAGUGAGUUCAAGGCCAGCCUGAACUACAUAAGGAGACCUCAUCUCAAAAAAUAAAGAAGCACUAGGCCAACAUUUAGGAAGGUAAAACCUCGAGAAUAAACCCAGGAUUUAAAGUGGUUUUUGUCCUAGAGACAUUUGCUAACCUGAGAGUUAUAACUGUGAAAUCAAACUGUUACUGGGCAGUCUUUAGGAGAGGCACAAAAAUUGAAAUCCAGUACUUAGCCAAGGUAGAAAGUCAGAUACCUGACACAUACCUUGACACGUACUUUGAGAGGACCCAUUUCAUUUAUUAUCUGAGUGGUCCAGGAAAGGUCGGCCCUUGAACAUGGAUUAACAUGGGCCCAUUCUUACAGUGCCUCGAUCAUCUGGCAAAGGCAGGCAUAAUUUGGUUCAAGGUAGUAUGCUUUCUGCAGGAAUGUAUUAUCAUCCUGGGCCUCAAAUAUUUCUAAAACUUUUGUCACAUACAAUGUCCAGCCCAUGAUCAGCAGUAAUCAGGUAAACAGACAUACACAGCCAGGCAUGGCACAUGCCUAAAGUCCCGGCACCCAGAAGGCUGAGGCAGGAAGAUUUCCUCAAGUUUGAGGCCAGCUACAAAGUGAGUUCAAGCCUAGACUGAACUGCUGAACUGCAUUAUGAAAUCUUGCCUUAAAAAAAAAAAAAAGAAAAGAAAAAAGGGAAAUGCAAACUGCAAAGGGUCAGUACAAUCACUAGAAAACACAAAUGAAGCCCCAAAGACAAGAUAUUAAAAUUGUCUGGUACCAACCCUAAAAUGGGCUGGGGAUUUAGCUCAGCGGCUUAAGUGCCUGCCUUGCAAGCAGGCAGUCGUGAGUUCGAUCCCUGGUAUCACUGAAAAAGACAAAAAAAAAAAAAGAAAAAAUCCAACCCUAAAAUAAUCCUGGCAUUAAUUUUCUAUAAUUUAAAGGCAAAGGUAAAACAAUCUGUAGAGAAUACAUAACUAUUAAAAGUGCCACAGAAAAUUUUGAUAUAACUUUUAGAACUGAAAAAUACAGUAUCCAAAAUGAACACCAAGGGCUGGGGAUUUAGCUCAGUGGCAUAAGCGCUUAGCUAGCAAGCGCAAGAUCCUGAGUUCAAUCCCCAGUACCGUGAGAAAAAAAAAAAAAGUUGUUGACAAAAUGAAAACCAUGAAUGAAGGGGUUAAAAACAGAUUAGACACAGCUGAAAAUGGACAAGUAUACUAGAAGAUAGGAAGAAAUUGCCUUCAAUAUAGUAUGGAAAGAAAAAACAGUUGGGCGUGGUAGCUCACGCCUGUAAUCCCAGCACUCAGCAGGCUGAGGCAAGAGGAUCCUUGCGAGUUCGAGACCAGCCCAGGCUACAAAGUGAGCUCAAGUCCAGCCUGAACUGCAUAGUGAGACCCUGUCUCAAAAAGACCAAAAAAAACCCACAAAUUUAUAGACUAUGAUGCCAGGUAGCGUAGUGUAAGCCUGUGAUACUGGCUAUUGAGAGGCUGAGUCAGGAGGAGUGCAACUUCAAGCCUAGCUUCAACAACCUAUGAAGGCCCUGGCUCAAAAUUUAUUUCUUUUCUUGUGACUCAAAAUUUUAAAAAUUUAGCUGGGCAUGUGAUACAUGCCUGUAAUGCGCACAGUCAAGAAGCUGAGGCAAGAAGAUCACUAAGUAGAGGCCAGCCUAGGUUAUAUAGCGAGUUUGAGGCCAGCCUGAACUACAUAGUGAUAAAAAAAAAUUUAUUUGGGGCUGGGGAUUUAGCUCAGCAGCAUAAGUGCCUGCCUUGCAAGCAUGUGGUCCGAUUAAAAAAAAUUUUUUUUUAUUUAAAAAGAGGCAAGGGGGGGGGCCUGGGGAUUUAGCUCAGUGGCAUGAGCACCUGCCUUGCAAGCAGGCAGUCAUGAGUUCGAUCCCUGGUACCGAUAAAAAGGAAAAAGACAAAAAAAAAAAAAAAAAAAGAAGCUGGGGGAUGUACUUCAGUGAUAGAGCACUUGCCUACCAUAUGCAAAGUCCUGGGUCCAAUUCCCAGUACAAAUAAAGAAAAGAAAAGAUUUUUAAUUUUUGUACCUCAGAGAAUGACAACUGUGUGAGAAGAUGGAAACCCGUGCCUUGAUUUGACCCUUACACAACAAACACAUGCAUUGAAGCAUUACCUGGUACUGCAUAAAUACAUACAACUUUUGUCAGUUAAAAAAUAAAAUUUAAUAAAAUAAUGUUAAAGCA